This 805-nucleotide ribosomal RNA is filed under the name uncultured bacterium. RNAcentral's name for it is "bacterial SSU rRNA". It matches the Rfam family "Bacterial small subunit ribosomal RNA", at positions 51 to 831 of the family's 1533-position model. The record is from RNAcentral.
AGGCAUGCAAGUCGAACGGAGAUUUUUUAUAGCAAUAUGAAAGAUCUUAGUGGCGUAAGGGCGAGUAACACGUGGGUAACGUGCCUCGGCGCUGGGAAUACCCUUCCGAAAGGAAGGUUAAUACCGAAUAAUGGCAUGUGACGCAAGUCAUAUGGCUAAAGGUGGGGACCGCAAGGCCUGCCGCGUUGAGAGCGACCCGCGUCCUAUCAGCUAGUUGGUGGGGUAAUGGCCUACCAAGGCGACGACGGGUAGCCGAGUUGAGAGACUGACCGGCCGCACUGGGACUGAGACACUGCCCAGACUCCUACGGGAGGCUGCAGUCGAGAAUCUUUCGCAAUGGGGGAAACCCUGACGAAGCGACGCCGCGUGCGGGAAGAAGGCCUUCGGGUUGUAAACCGCUUUGAGCAGGGGCGAAUGCCGAGGCGUUAACAGCGCUAUCGGUUUGACGGUACCUGCAGAACAAGCCACGGCUAACUCUGUGCCAGCAGCCGCGGUAAGACAGAGGUGGCAAGCGUUGUUCGGAUUUACUGGGCGUAAAGGGGGUCUAGGUGGUUCGUUAUGUCUUCCGUGAAAUCCCGGAGCUUAACUCCGGAACUGCGGGAGAAACUGGCGAACUUGAGCGCGUGAUACGUAAGCGGAAUACUGGGUGUAGCGGUGAAAUGCGUAGAUAUCCAGUAGAACACCUGCGGCGAAAGCGGCUUACGAGCGCGUUGCUGACACUGAAGCCCGAAAGCGUGGGGAUCAAACAGGAUUAGAUACCCUGGUAGUCCACGCUGUAAACGAUGUGCACUAGAUGUAGGGAGAA